RNAcentral lists this long non-coding RNA (1047 nucleotides) under Phasianus colchicus (ring-necked pheasant). RNAcentral's name for it is "lncRNA (ENSPCLG00000014846.1)". Lineage: Eukaryota; Metazoa; Chordata; Aves; Galliformes; Phasianidae. The record is from RNAcentral.
AUGCAGCCCAUCCCCAUGCACCCCAAACCCAGGCACCUUGAUCCCCAUACACCACACAUCCCAACCCCAUGCACCCCACUUCCAGUGCACCCCAAUACAUCACAUACCCCACUCCCAUGCACCACACAUUUUCUGUGCACCCCAAUACACAGCACACCCCAACCCCAUGCACCCUCCUUCCCAUGCAUCCCAACACACCAUGCUCCCCAAACCCCCAUGCACCUCGAUGCCCAUACACAGCACACCCCACUUCCCAUGCACCCCAACACACAGUGCUUCCCAAAUCCAUGCACCCCAACACACCCCAACCCUAUGUGCCCCCAGGUAGCAUACUUCCCAUGCACCCCAACACACCAUGCUCCCCAAAACCCCAUACACCUCGACCUCCAUACACAGCUCACCCCACUUCCUAUGCACCCCAACACACUGUACUCCCCAAACCCAUGCUCCUCAACCCCCAUACACAGCACACCCCAACCCUGCUUCCCAUGCACCCCAAUACCCCAUGCUCUUCAGACCCAUGCACCUUGUACCGCAAGUACAGCACCACCCAAUCUCAUGGAUCCCACAUCUGUGCGCCCCAAUACACACCAAACCCCAAAUCCAUACACCCUGUUUCCAGUGCAUCCCAAUACACAGCAAACCCCAAACCCAUGCACCUCGCAUCCCUGUGCACCCCAAUACACCUCACACCCCAACCCAGUGCUCCCUGAUACAUUGUGCAGCCCAUCCCCAUGCACCCCAAACCCAGGCACCUUGAUCCCCAUACACCACAUAUCCCAACCCCAUGCACCCCACUUCCAGUGCACCCCAAUACAUCACAUACCCCACUCCCAUGCACCACACAUUUUCUGUGCACCCCAAUACACAGCACACCCCAACCCCAUGCACCCUCCUUCCCAUGCACCCCAACACACCAUGCUCCCCAAACCCCCAUGCACCUCGAUGCCCAUACACAGCAUACCCCACUUCCCAUUCACCCCAACACACUGUGCUUCCCAAAUCCAUGCACCCCAACACACCCCAACCCUAUGUGCCCCUAGGUAG